Molecule: long non-coding RNA, 225 nt
Filed under: Sus scrofa (pig)
Lineage: Eukaryota; Metazoa; Chordata; Mammalia; Artiodactyla; Suidae
Description: KCNQ1 overlapping transcript 1 conserved region 5 (ENSSSCG00070015037.1)
Rfam family: KCNQ1 overlapping transcript 1 conserved region 5
Source: RNAcentral
ACAUGCUCUGAGUCGCAAUUUUAAAAGAUCCCUCUAGCUGCAGCAUAAAUCCUGCAGCAGGCCCCUUUUCUCUUCAGCGUGUUUGAAAACACACUAAAACAGAACUGUAAUCAAGCAACCCAAUCCUGAAAUUUUUCUCUUAGUGAUGAUCUGGAAAACAGGUGCAGAAAUGGAUCAUUUGAGACACCGUAGAAAUCUGAGUAAUCCUGCCCGCCUGCGCGCCUU